Molecule: ribosomal RNA, 497 nt
Filed under: uncultured bacterium
Lineage: Bacteria
Description: partial 16S ribosomal RNA
Rfam family: Bacterial small subunit ribosomal RNA
Source: RNAcentral
GAUGAACGCUGGCGGCGUGCCUAAUACAUGCAAGUCGAGCGAACAGACGAGGAGCUUGCUCCUCUGACGUUAGCGGCGGACGGGUGAGUAACACGUGGAUAACCUACCUAUAAGACUGGGAUAACUUCGGGAAACCGGAGCUAAUACCGGAUAAUAUAUUGAACCGCAUGGUUCAAUAGUGAAAGACGGUUUUGCUGUCACUUAUAGAUGGAUCCGCGCCGCAUUAGCUAGUUGGUAAGGUAACGGCUUACCAAGGCAACGAUGCGUAGCCGACCUGAGAGGGAGGUUCGCCAGACUGGCACUGAGGCAGGGCCCAGACUCCUACGCGGGGCAGCAGUAGGGAAUCUUCCGCAAUGGAGGAAAGCUUGACGGAGCAACGCCGCGUAAGUGAUGAAGGUCUUCGGAUCGUAAAACUCUGUUAUUAGGGAAAAAGAAAUAUGUAAGUAACUAUGCACGUCUUGACGGUACCUGAUCAGAAAGCCACGGCUAACUACGUG